CAUUUAAAAAAAAAAAACAAAAAAAGUAAAAACAAUACUUUUUUUUGGCAGCCGGUAGCCAGACUAAUCCUUCGUUCCACUUUCAGCACACUAAGUAAUGAACUAGUCAUAGAAUUUUCUCCUUCGCGGUGGAAUCGAACCCCAACCUCUGUGCCGAACCACCGCAUCAACCGAUUAAAAACAAACUCUAACACACAGUGUAGUUGCGCCCAACUCAAACUUCAUUAUUGCAGCAUCUCAUAUUUUCUUCAUCUUGAUAGCCAAUUAUUACAACACUUUGGUAGAUAAACCCCCCGAAAAAUGCAGAGAAAAUUUGGUGGAGGGAAGCCGCCAACAGGAACACCAUCAAUGGCUUGGUCAAGUUUAGUUGUUGUUGUUUCUCUACUAUCUGGUGCCUCCAUUGUCCACAAUUUCUACAAACCUGAUCUGACUCUGCCUCCUAUAGAAAGCAUAGAUGGUAUCAAGCAGAAAGAUGCAGAGAAGGAAUAAUCUUUUAGUUUCGGUUCAUUUAAUUUUGAUGGAAAUUAUGAAAUGGAGUAGCAGUUAAAAAUAGAGAACCCCCACCCCCACCCCCACCCCACCCAUCCCCCAACAAUCCCCACCCUCCUCAUAGUGCAGUCUUUCCUUUGUACUAUUUGACAGUUUUUUUGUAGUAGCACAAAAACCAAAUUAAUGUUCAGAAUUUCAAAUCAAACCAGUGAACACAUGAUACUGUAUUCCCCUUUAAUUUGUACAACGGCAAGUCGAUAGGGAAAAAAGAACUUUUAAAGUGUGAGCUUGCAAUGAUUCCUAGUAGAGUCUAUCUGACUUUAGACAUGUGGACUUCUGUGGCA
This is a long non-coding RNA of Capsicum annuum, 833 nucleotides long. RefSeq lists it as uncharacterized. The record is from RefSeq and is a predicted model, not a curated record. The transcript has 2 exons. Lineage: Eukaryota; Viridiplantae; Streptophyta; Magnoliopsida; Solanales; Solanaceae.